GGGCCGGUAGCUCAGCCUGGUAGAGCAUCUGACUUUUAAUCAGGUGGUCGCGAGUCCAAAUCUCGCCCGGCCCG
Molecule: transfer RNA, 74 nt
Filed under: Candidatus Woesearchaeota archaeon
Lineage: Archaea; Nanobdellati; Candidatus Woesearchaeota
Description: tRNA-Lys
Rfam family: tRNA
About the family: Transfer RNA (tRNA) molecules are approximately 80 nucleotides in length. Their secondary structure includes four short double-helical elements and three loops (D, anti-codon, and T loops).
Source: RNAcentral